Long non-coding RNA from Drosophila santomea, 390 nucleotides. RefSeq lists it as uncharacterized. NCBI's taxonomy places the organism in Eukaryota, Metazoa, Arthropoda, Insecta, Diptera, Drosophilidae. The transcript has 3 exons. The record is from RefSeq and is a predicted model, not a curated record.
UAAGAAAAUAACCUGUCGCUAUAGGCAACGCCAAUGCGUCCAUUUUUAAUUAUUUAUCUAUUUGUAAUUAGAAUUACUCUAAUUACACGGGAUCAUUAUGGUCGGAAAUACCCUGGCAAGCGCCUGUCAGAAUUUUCGGUUUCGUUUUCCGUCACCCCUUUUUUGCAUUUUUAUUCAAUUGUAGAACAUGACAAGUGGUGUUUGGAACAUUUUCAACGUUAAAUAUAAAAAACCUAUAGCAUAAGCCAGUGUUGGGACAGCUACCUGGCUUGAGCUUUGGAAACAGAAGAAAUUUGCUCGCUUAGGCUCUGAUGAUUUAUUCUCUUCCUUUUUUGCCACUUUUGAUUUCAUGGCCUCAUAUGACGCAUAGCUGUUUGGAUGCACCCUCUA